Molecule: ribosomal RNA, 253 nt
Filed under: uncultured bacterium
Lineage: Bacteria
Description: partial 16S ribosomal RNA
Rfam family: Bacterial small subunit ribosomal RNA
Source: RNAcentral
UACAGAGGUCCCAAGCGUUGUUCGGAUUCACUGGGCGUAAAGGGUGCGUAGGUGGUCGGGUAAGUCUGAUGUGAAAGCUCGGAGCCUAACUCCGAAAUGGCAUCGGAUACUACUCGGCUUGAGGUCUGGAGGGGAGACUGGAAUUCUCGGUGUAGCAGUGAAAUGCGUAGAUAUCGAGAGGAACGCCAAUGGCGAAGGCUGGUCUCUGGACAGAUUCUGACACUGAGGCACGAAAGCUAGGGGAGCAAACAGG